This 1016-nucleotide long non-coding RNA is filed under the name Aotus nancymaae (Ma's night monkey). Its description in RNAcentral is "lncRNA (ENSANAG00000038781.1)". Lineage: Eukaryota; Metazoa; Chordata; Mammalia; Primates; Aotidae. The record is from RNAcentral.
CCUUCAUCCACUAUGGCCUCAUCUUAACUUGAUUACAUUUGCAAAAACUUAUUUCCAAAUAACAUUAUGAUGUUCACGGGUAUGUGGGCUAGGACUUCAACGUAUCUGAGGAACAAAAGUCAACCCAUAACAGACACACAUGCAUGCACACACGCACUCUUAAGUCCUGCUAAGUUUUGUGAACCAUUGUUCUGUAUCGUUUUACAGACCUUGGAACUGAGGCCCAGAGAGGGCGCCGCCCUUACUGAAGGGUGCACAGCUUCUUAGCUGCAGCGUCUGGAGCUAACAAGACAGAACACAGGCUUCACAGCUCCAAGGCUCAGCAGGUUGUCCUACUGGGCCAUGUCUCCACCUCAGCUUCUCAAAGCCUGGUCCAGUUGGAGGGAAAUGUGAACAACAGGGAGGAGAAAAUGAGGCUGUCCGUGUCCCGGGCCCCAGGCUGUCUCCAGGCCUCUGUGUCCCAUGAGGAGGGGGGACAGAGAAGAGUGUGGCGUGUGCCCAUGGGCAGACAGUGGAGGCAGAGGUCCCAUUCCAGGAUGGCAGGCAGCUUUUCCAGCCCCUGGGAUGCCUCACCCUGCAGACUGCCAACAAGAGCCUCCUUCUGGCUGUGCACAGCUUCCAGGGGUGCCUGCUGGGCCAUGUGGAGGUGAGAGGGCCUGGGCUGGGACACAGGGAAGGGGUUACUAUUCUCUCCCUGGGCAGAGGCCACAGUGCCAGGAGCUCCAAGCCCUUGGGGUCCAUCUGUGCCCAGAAACCAGAGCAGAUGGCCCCAGGGUGAGGCCGACACCUGCCACUGGCACUGAGACCUUUUGUCUAUUUCAUUCCUACAUGGCCCCGAGGGAGUCCCAGCCUCUUCUCCGUCCUCACAGUCCAGGAUUGCAGCAGUUGGCUCCCAGGUGCAAGCCUGGCUGGAAGAGAAGUUUCAAGGCUUGGGUGCCUCUGUGAGAAGGUUCCAGCACCUGGUGGGUAGCACAGGAGAGAAGGGUUGGGUGAAGAGCUCUCCCUCUGGCCUGGCU